UAGGAGGGUUGUUGGUUGUUAUUCUCCAUCAAGAAUCUCUCUUCAAUUACCAAACUGUUGGCUCAAAUGAUAUUUUCUGAUACUGAUUUUUCUUGAGCACUAAUGUUCCUCCCUUUGUACUGAUCAACAGUUUUUUAUUUCUGGUGCAGGCUGAUAUAGGAGGUGUCUGAUUCUUGAAAGAAAGAGAGGUCUUUUUUAAGGUUCUCAGGUUCAAUUAUUUAUUUAUUUAUUCAGUUGACAGGAAAAUUCUUGUGCGGGCUGAUAUAAGAAGAGAGGCAUUACCUUCUUUUUAUAGGUAGGGAGUAUCUGGUUCUUGGGGGAAAAGAGAGAGGGUCUUUUUGAGCUUCUCAGGUUCAAAUUCUUGGGAGAAAGAGGUGGUCUUUUUGAGGUUCUCAGGUUCAAAUUCUUUUCAAAGAGAAUAAAGAGCAGGUGCCUGCCCUAUUGUAUAUCGAAAAUGAGUUGGAACAAAGAGAGGAAAUGGGUAUGGAAUUUUUGAGCACAAGGGUCUCCUUCGCUCCGAGAAGAAACGAGUUUUCGCACAGAUUUGGCUCGAGACUGAUCAAGAGACGGUAGAGAAAGCAAAAUGUGGGCAAUGAGGAUGCAAGCGAGGACACGCAGUUAUUUGAAGAUGAAAGUGGAUGAGCUUCAAGUUUUGAGGAGGAGAGUGGAGAGGUGGAUAGAAAGAGGAGACGGAAAGGGGAUAAGAUUUGUGAUCUAAUUUUGAGAACCUUAUCCUGCUGCUAAGCUUGUGUGAUACUUUUUUAUGGCUGCUUUGAUUUGAACAGUUGAGGUGAGAAAAAAGAAGAGUGAUAUAUAUAAGAAUGAAAGAUACAGAAGUCCAGAGAGAAAAUAUUUUGUGAGUAGAUAGUGAGAUUUGCUCAAUGUUGAGAUUGUAGUUUGUGAUGAGAUUUGACUUUGUCCGGAAAGGAAAUUGAAAUUGUCCUUCAGGUGCUGUUUGUGGGCGGUGGGCUCAGCGGGAGUCUUGGAGAUUGAGAGUUAAAUGGACGUAAAAUAUUUAAAUUGCUUUUUCCCCCACAAGAAAAAACUUAUUAUUUUCUGCA
Molecule: long non-coding RNA, 1061 nt
Organism: Asparagus officinalis (garden asparagus)
Lineage: Eukaryota; Viridiplantae; Streptophyta; Magnoliopsida; Asparagales; Asparagaceae
Exons: 2
Source: RefSeq, a predicted model, not a curated record